UGCAAAGGUAGCAUAAUCAUUAGUCUUUUAAUAGAGGGCUGGAAUGAAAGGUUUAACGAGGAAUCGACUGUCUCACCUUAUAUGUAUUAAAACUUAAUUUUUCAGUCAAAAAGCUGAAAUUAUAUUGGAAGACGAGAAGACCCUAUAGAUCUUUAUAUAAUAUCAACAUAAUAUUAUUAUAUCAAUGAAUUUUGUUGGUUUUGUAUUUAGUUGGGGUGACAAAAAUAUAUAAUUAACUUUUUUAUAAUUUAAACAUUGAUUUAUGAAUAUUAGAUCCAUUAUUAUUGAUCAUUAGAUUAAGUUACCUUAGGGAUAACAGCGUAAUCCUCUUCCAGAGUUCAUAUUUACAAGAGGGCUUGCGACCUCGAUGUUGGAUUAAGAUAAUAGUUAGGUGCAGCCGCUUAACUCAUAGGUCUGUUCGACCUUUAAAUUCUUA
Molecule: ribosomal RNA, 436 nt
Filed under: Erythemis sp. OD024
Lineage: Eukaryota; Metazoa; Arthropoda; Insecta; Odonata; Libellulidae
Description: partial 16S ribosomal RNA
Rfam family: Bacterial large subunit ribosomal RNA
Source: RNAcentral